AGAGAAGAAAAAUAAAAAGGGAGAAAGAUUUGGAAAUUAAGGAAGAAACUGGAGAGUAGCUAGUAAUGCCUUCUCAUUCUGGAGAUGACAAUGUUCUUCAAGUUCUCAUCAAGAACUUCGAUGUUCUUGCUCUCCCAUUGGUCGCUCUCGUCUACCCUCUGUAUGCAUCAGUGAAAGCAAUAGAGACAAAAUCAUUAGCAGAAGACGAGCAAUGGCUCACAUACUGGGUUCUCUACGCAAUCAUCUCCCUCUUCGAACUCAUUUUCC
This is a long non-coding RNA of Raphanus sativus (radish), 267 nucleotides long. RefSeq lists it as uncharacterized. The transcript is spliced from 3 exons. The record is from RefSeq and is a predicted model, not a curated record. NCBI's taxonomy places the organism in Eukaryota, Viridiplantae, Streptophyta, Magnoliopsida, Brassicales, Brassicaceae.